Molecule: transfer RNA, 83 nt
Rfam family: tRNA
About the family: Transfer RNA (tRNA) molecules are approximately 80 nucleotides in length. Their secondary structure includes four short double-helical elements and three loops (D, anti-codon, and T loops). Further hydrogen bonds mediate the characteristic L-shaped molecular structure. tRNAs have two regions of fundamental functional importance: the anti-codon, which is responsible for specific mRNA codon recognition, and the 3' end, to which the tRNAs corresponding amino acid is attached (by aminoacyl-tRNA synthetases). tRNAs cope with the degeneracy of the genetic code in two manners: having more than one tRNA (with a specific anti-codon) for a particular amino acid; and 'wobble' base-pairing, i.e. permitting non-standard base-pairing at the 3rd anti-codon position.
Source: Rfam
CCGAAAAUAGCUCAGUUGGUAGAGCGGGAGACUGUAGUUUGUCUGUCAUCUCUAGGUCCCUGGUUCAAAUCCGGGUUUUCGGA